Small nucleolar RNA from Pleuronectes platessa (European plaice), 140 nucleotides. RefSeq annotates it as small nucleolar RNA SNORA15. NCBI's taxonomy places the organism in Eukaryota, Metazoa, Chordata, Actinopteri, Pleuronectiformes, Pleuronectidae. The record is from RefSeq and is a predicted model, not a curated record. The transcript has a single exon.
GCAUGGAAGAAUUCUGUUUUACUCUUGAAAUAGUAAAUGCAGUCAGACACUAUGCAAAAUUAUUGUUUUCACACACUGACUCAAUAACAGAAGAGUGCUUGUUCUGUGCCUCUUUUUUUUAUCUCAGAGUGAAUACAGCA